GACGAACGCUGGCGGCGUGCUUAACACAUGCAAGUCGAACGAUGAACGCUGGAGCUUGCUCCGGCUGGAUUAGUGGCGAACGGGUGAGUAACACGUGAGCAAUCUGCCCUUGACUCUGGGAUAACUCCGAGAAAUCGGUGCUAAUACCGGAUAUGACCCUUGGCGGCAUCGCUGGGGGUGGAAGGUUCUUCGGUCAAGGAUGAGCUCGCGGCCUAUCAGCGUGUUGGUGAGGUAAUGGCUGACCAAGGCGACGACGGGUAGCCGGCCUGAGAGGGUGACCGGCCACACUGGGACUGAGACACGGCCCAGACUCCUACGGGAGGCAGCAGUGGGGAAUAUUGCACAAUGGGCGCAAGCCUGAUGCAGCAACGCCGCGUGGGGGAUGACGGCCUUCGGGUUGUAAACCUCUUUUAGCAGGGAAGAAGCGAAAGUGACGGUACCUGCAGAAAAAGCACCGGCUAACUACGUGCCAGCCGCCGCAGUAA
This 485-nucleotide ribosomal RNA is filed under the name uncultured bacterium. Its description in RNAcentral is "partial 16S ribosomal RNA". It matches the Rfam family "Bacterial small subunit ribosomal RNA", at positions 28 to 523 of the family's 1533-position model. The record is from RNAcentral.